AUUGAACGCUGGCGGCAUGCUUUACACAUGCAAGUCGAACGGUAACAGGCCGCAAGGUGCUGACGAGUGGCGAACGGGUGCGUAAUGCAUCGGAACGUGCCCAGUCGUGGGGGGUAACUACUCGCAAGAGUAGCUAAUACCGCAUACGAUCUAUGGAUGAAAGCGGGGGACCGUAAGGCCUCGCGCGAUUGGAGCGGCCGAUGUCAGAUUAGGUAGUUGGUGGGGUAAAGGCUCACCAAGCCAACGAUCUGUAGCUGGUCUGAGAGGACGACCAGCCACACUGGAACUGAGACACGGCCCAGACUCCUACGGGAGGCAGCAGUGGGGAAUUUUGGACAAUGGGCGCAAGCCUGAUCCAGCAAUGCCGCGUGCAGGAAGAAGGCCUUCGGGUUGUAAACUGCUUUUGUACGGAACGAAACGGCCCUGGUUAAUACCCGGGGCUAAUGACGGUACCGUAAGAAUAAGCACCGGCUAACUACGUG
This 482-nucleotide ribosomal RNA is filed under the name uncultured bacterium. Its description in RNAcentral is "partial 16S ribosomal RNA". It matches the Rfam family "Bacterial small subunit ribosomal RNA", at positions 30 to 507 of the family's 1533-position model. The record is from RNAcentral.